This 675-nucleotide ribosomal RNA is filed under the name uncultured bacterium. RNAcentral's name for it is "bacterial SSU rRNA". It matches the Rfam family "Bacterial small subunit ribosomal RNA", at positions 10 to 677 of the family's 1533-position model. The record is from RNAcentral.
AGUUUGAUCCUGGCUCAGAACGAACGCUGGCGGCGUGUUUAAGACAUGCAAGUCGCACGGGACAAGUUGAGUAGUAAUACGAUUCUUGUCUAGUGGCGCACGGGUGAGUAACAUGUGAAUUACAUGCCCUUCAGUGGGGAAUAGCCCAGGGAAACUUGGAUUAAUACCCCAUGGUAUCGCAAGAUUAAAGGUGGCCGCAAGGCUGCCGCUGAAGGAUUGGUUCGCACCCUAUCAGCUUGUUGGUGAGGUAAUGGCUCACCAAGGCUACGACGGGUACCUGGUCUGAGAGGACGAUCAGGCACACUGGAACUGAGACACGGUCCAGACACCUACGGGUGGCAGCAGUCGAGAAUAAUUCACAAUGGGGGCAACCCUGAUGGUGCAACGCCGCGUGGAGGAUGACGGUCUUCGGAUUGUAAACUCCUGUCAUCCGGGAGUAAGACCUGGGCAUGAAUAGUGCACAGGGUUGAUAGUACCGGAAGAGGAAGGGACGGCUAACUUCGUGCCAGCAGCCGCGGUAAUACGAAGGUCCCAAGCGUUGUUCGGAAUCACUGGGCGUAAAGGGAGCGUAGGCGGCGUGGUAAGUCAGAUGUGAAAUCCCGGGGCUCAACCCCGGAACUGCAUCCGAUACUGCCAUGCUAGAGGAUUGGAGAGGUAGCUGGAAUUCUUGGUGUA